RNAcentral lists this ribosomal RNA (497 nucleotides) under uncultured bacterium. Its description in RNAcentral is "partial 16S ribosomal RNA". It matches the Rfam family "Bacterial small subunit ribosomal RNA", at positions 28 to 507 of the family's 1533-position model. The record is from RNAcentral.
GAGGAAAGAGGGAGGCGUGCCUAAUACAUGCAAGUCGAGCGAACAGACGAGGAGCUUGCUCCUCUGACGUUAGCGGCGGACGGGUGAGUAACACGUGGAUAACCUACCUAUAAGACUGGGAUAACUUCGGGAAACCGGAGCUAAUACCGGAUAAUAUAUUGAACCGCAUGGUUCAAUAGUGAAAGACGGUUUUGCUGUCACUUAUAGAUGGAUCCGCGCCGCAUUAGCUAGUUGGUAAGGUAACGGCUUACCAAGGCGACGAUGCGUAGCCGACCUGAGAGGGUGAUCGGCCACACUGGAACUGAGACACGGUCCAGACUCCUACGGGAGGCAGCAGUAGGGAAUCUUCCGCAAUGGGCGAAAGCCUGACGGAGCAACGCCGCGUGAGUGAUGAAGGUCUUCGGAUCGUAAAACUCUGUUAUUAGGGAAGAACAAAUGUGUAAGUAACUAUGCACGUCUUGACGGUACCUAAUCAGAAAGCCACGGCUAACUACGUG